UACGUAGGGUGCUAGCGUUGUUCGGAAUCAUUGGGCGUAAAGAGCUCGUAGGCGGCCACUCAAGUCGAAUGUGAAACCUCGAGGCUUAACCUCGAGCCUGCAUUCGAUACUGGGCGGCUAGAGUCUGGUAGGGGGAUCUGGAAUUCCUGGUGUAGCGGUGGAAUGCGCAGAUAUCAGGAGGAACACCGGUGGCGAAGGCGGGAUCCUGGGCCAGUACUGACGCUGAGGAGCGAAAGCGUGGGGAGCAAACAGG
This 253-nucleotide ribosomal RNA is filed under the name uncultured bacterium. Its description in RNAcentral is "partial 16S ribosomal RNA". It matches the Rfam family "Bacterial small subunit ribosomal RNA", at positions 524 to 776 of the family's 1533-position model. The record is from RNAcentral.